UNUGACUUGAGUGCAGAAGGGGAGAGUGGAAUNCCAUGUGUAGCGGUGAAAUGCGUAGAUAUAUGGAGGAACACCAGUGGCGAAAGCGGCUCUCUGGUCUGUCACUGACGCUGAGGCUCGAAAGCGUGGGUAGCGUACAGGAUUAGAUACCCUGGUAGUCCACGCCGUAAACGAUGAGUGCUAGGUGUUAGGCCCUUUCCGGGGCUUAGUGCCGGAGCUAACGCAAUAAGCACUCCGCCUGGGGAGUACGACCGCAAGGUUGAAACUCAAAGGAAUUGACGGGGGCCCGCACAAGCGGUGGAGCAUGUGGUUUAAUUCGAAGCAACGCGAAGAACCUUACCAGGUCUUGACAUCCCGAUGCUAUUCUUAGAGAUAGGAAGUUACUUCGGUACAUCGGAGACAGGUGGUGCAUGGUUGUCGUCAGCUCGUGUCGUGAGAUGUUGGGUUAAGUCCCGCAACGAGCGCAACCCUUAUUGUUAGUUGCCAUCAUUAAGUUGGGCACUCUAGCGAGACUGCCGGUAAUAAACCGGAGGAAGGUGGGGAUGACGUCAAAUCAUCAUGCCCCUUAUGACCUGGGCUACACACGUGCUACAAUGGUCGAUACAACGAGUUGCGAGCCGGUGACGGCAAGCUAAUCUCUGAAAGCCGAUCUCAGUUCGGAUUGGAGGCUGCAACUCGCCUCCAUGAAGUCGGAAUCGCUAGUAAUCGCGGAUCAGCACGCCGCGGUGAAUACGUUCCCGGGCCUUGUACACACC
Molecule: ribosomal RNA, 755 nt
Filed under: uncultured bacterium
Lineage: Bacteria
Description: bacterial SSU rRNA
Rfam family: Bacterial small subunit ribosomal RNA
Source: RNAcentral